UUUUAGUAGCCACUUAGUCACAAACACUGGCCAAAGUUAGCAUUUCUUGCAUUUUUAACAUACAAACAAAUGUAAAUGCUAACUUUGGCCAGUGUUUGUGACUAAGUGGCUACUAAAAAAG
This 121-nucleotide microRNA precursor is filed under the name Pelobates cultripes (western spadefoot toad). The record is from RNAcentral. Lineage: Eukaryota; Metazoa; Chordata; Amphibia; Anura; Pelobatidae.